UCGUGGAACUGUAGUGAUAACUCAGCCAUAGGCUUCGUGCUGUUUUGAUUUAUAAGAAACGAAAAGCAGAACGCAAAAUGGGUUGCAAAAUUGUUGGAGAGAGAAUAGGAAACGUAAUUUACAUUGACAUUCUGGGAGGCAAUCACUGAAGCGUUUAACGAUGAAACUUGCUAAAAGCAGAAGGUGACAAGCAGCUAAACAGUAGAUACUGUGAGAAAUUUGCAUUUGCAAAACAAGAUACUGAAGUAGCAGAAACAUAUCGCAAAUUCAGUAGUACCACAACAGAACGACUACAGGAGCGAAAUGUACACCUCACCACUCUGAAUUGGGGCCCAGCUCAUCGCCAGACUGCAGAAGGACGUCUCUGUGAAAUAGGAUACCCUGGACCAUAUUUAAGCUCUUAUGGGGCGUGAUAGUUACAGAAACAUCCGCCAGCUUGUCACAAGCUAGUAAUGUUGGUGACUGGGCUGAGGAUGCUGUUUUGAUCAAGACUGACCCACAUCUCGUUUUGGACAAUCCCUCCACCACUCCAAAUGCUCCACAAAAACCUGAGGCUUCAUUGUCAUGAAAGACUGCCCAUCAGCUCUCGAACAUACAAGGUACCGUGGCGAAUAAGUUUCGCUGCCAUCCUUAGCCUGAUGUUCCUUCCAUGGUGUGGCCAAGAAGGGGAACGAUUUGGCGUCGCACUUCUGUGUGUUGAAUUGAACUUGUGAUCGCUUAGAGACUGCUAGUAUUUUACCACCACCAGCAAGAGAUGAUGGACUACGCUUCAUCUUGUGUCAUUCGCCCUGAUGCCACCCACUCAGACCAAGAGCACUACCCACAGGUGCCACCUAGCCACAGCAAAGGCCACCUGGCAGGACGGCCAUUGCCAGACGUCCCGAUGCCGCAGGGGGAUCGGUAUCUACCCCUUGGCAUACGUGGGGAUUUAAUGGCGCAAUCAUCAGCAGAGCGAUCCCUGUGUGGUCAGGGGGCUACAACCAACACGGUACAUGGUGGCCCCACCACAACGGACUGGCUACCGUGCUGGAUAUCAGGUGCAAAGAAAUCCAUGGUCAUCGUUGACACAGAAAGCGACACUGCACAAUGCAUGGUGGAAAACACAUCCAGAAAGGUGUCCUCGCCCAAUAGAUGGGGAAUGAGCGGGACUGAGAUGCGACAAUGAGGAAGUGGGCUAAAGAUUUCAAUGCACGAUGGACAUUAUGCACCAUGUAAGGCUCCCUUCCCCAAUUGGCUUGAUCUUCGGGAAAAUUUUGAAGAAUGGAGUUCAAAACCCUACAGGGGACUGUCACAUAAAGGCUGAAACGUGGGAAACUCCUUUUAAUCGCCUCUUAUGACAGGCAGGAAUACCUAGGGCCUAUUCUUACCCCUGGACAUGCAGGGGGAGAACCAUCAGUGAUUUCACCAUACAGGCAAAGGAAAGAUGACUGAUGUGAAUCUUCUACUUACUAUCUAAACAUUUUGGGGAUGACUGGAAGAGCAUAGGAGAUUUAGAUUUCUGUGCAAACUUCAUUGGUGCAGUUCCUAUUGUAACUGGCAGUGAGGAAGGGGUUUGUACAUCAGCUUGUGGUUGCUUGAAAGGAGCACGAGGACCUUACCAAAUAUUAAGAGAAACCAAAAGAAUGGCCAUUCUCAAGAUUCUAUAAAUCAAAAUAUUUACCAGAAAGACGUGCUGAGUUUGAUAUGAAAUGAUUAAUGUGACCAUAUUUAUUGUGUAAUAAAAAUGUUUUCAAAGACAAAUGGCACCAAAAAGGACAUCAUUAACACGUAUUCUACAACA
Schistocerca serialis cubense is the source of this 1780-nucleotide long non-coding RNA. RefSeq lists it as uncharacterized. The transcript has 3 exons. Lineage: Eukaryota; Metazoa; Arthropoda; Insecta; Orthoptera; Acrididae. The record is from RefSeq and is a predicted model, not a curated record.